AAUCAACGCUGGCGGCGUGCCUAACACAUGCAAGUCGAACGCGAAAAGGGGCAACCCUGAGUAGAGUGGCGUCCGGGUGAGUAACACGUGGAUAAUCUGCCUGCGGGGCGGGGGAAUAACUUUCCGAAAGGGGAGCUAAUACCGCAUAACACCGUAAUAGGGCAUCCUGAUACGGUCAAAGAGGGGGAUCGCAAGACCUCUCGCCUGCAGAGGAGUCCGCGGCCGAUUAGCUAGUGGCGAGGUAACGGCUCACCAAGGCAGCGAUCGGUAGCCGGCCUGAGAGGGCGAACGGCCACACUGGUACUGAAAUACGGGCCAGACUCCUACGGGAGGCAGCAGUGGGGAAUUUGGGCAAUGGCCGAAAGGCUGACCCAGCAACGCCGCGUGAAGGAU
RNAcentral lists this ribosomal RNA (393 nucleotides) under uncultured bacterium. RNAcentral describes it as "bacterial SSU rRNA". It matches the Rfam family "Bacterial small subunit ribosomal RNA", at positions 29 to 409 of the family's 1533-position model. The record is from RNAcentral.